This 253-nucleotide ribosomal RNA is filed under the name uncultured bacterium. RNAcentral describes it as "partial 16S ribosomal RNA". It matches the Rfam family "Bacterial small subunit ribosomal RNA", at positions 524 to 776 of the family's 1533-position model. The record is from RNAcentral.
UACGUAGGGCGCAAGCGCUAUCCGGAAUUAUUGGGCGUAAAGAGCUCGUAGGCGGCUUGUUGCGUCGACUGUGAAAACCCGCGGCUUAACCGCGGGCUUGCAGUUGAUACGGGCAGGCUAGAGUUCGGUAGGGGAGACUGGAAUUCCUGGUGUAGCGGUGAAAUGCGCAGAUAUCAGGAGGAACACCGGUGGCGAAGGCGGGUCUCUGGGCCGAUACUGACGCUGAGGAGCAAAAGCGUGGGGAGCGAACAGG